Oxyura jamaicensis (ruddy duck) is the source of this 113-nucleotide long non-coding RNA. RefSeq lists it as uncharacterized. NCBI's taxonomy places the organism in Eukaryota, Metazoa, Chordata, Aves, Anseriformes, Anatidae. The record is from RefSeq and is a predicted model, not a curated record. The transcript has 2 exons.
CAGGGGAAACACAGUGAAGAGAACCUCAAAACUGCACGAUGAAGCAAUCCUCAGGGCCUGGAACAAGAAAAGAAAACAUCACAUGUUGAAAGAUGAAGCACUUCUGAAAGGCA